This 253-nucleotide ribosomal RNA is filed under the name uncultured bacterium. RNAcentral describes it as "partial 16S ribosomal RNA". It matches the Rfam family "Bacterial small subunit ribosomal RNA", at positions 524 to 776 of the family's 1533-position model. The record is from RNAcentral.
UACGUAGGGGGCAAGCGUUGUCCGGAAUCAUUGGGCGUAAAGAGCGCGUAGGCGGUCCGGUAAGUCCGCUCUGAAAGCCCGGGGCUCAACCCCGGGAGGCGGGCGGAUACUGUCGGGCUAGAGUCCGGAAGAGGCGAGUGGAAUUCCUGGUGUAGCGGUGAAAUGCGCAGAUAUCAGGAGGAACACCGAUGGCGAAGGCAGCUCGCUGGGACGGUACUGACGCUGAGGCGCGAAAGCGUGGGAAGCAAACAGG